Sardina pilchardus (European sardine) is the source of this 1164-nucleotide long non-coding RNA. RefSeq lists it as uncharacterized. NCBI's taxonomy places the organism in Eukaryota, Metazoa, Chordata, Actinopteri, Clupeiformes, Clupeidae. The record is from RefSeq and is a predicted model, not a curated record. The transcript is spliced from 11 exons.
ACGCAUUGUAGGCCUUUUCGUAUGCAUGAUUCGCUGGGCACCACACGUGUAUCGGCUGGCUGAUGUUUGGGAUUGGACGUCAGAAUGGUCUGGAAUUACCAGAAUCGCAUGAUAUUGCGAUUUCCAGAGGGGGUCAUUCAGGUUAUACUUGAGUGCCCCCUGGAAUCAUUGACUGGGUGGCCCUGAUUUACAUGCUGGCAGCAAGAAUAAUGGAGACAGUGAUGAUGGUCCAGAAUGUCUUGGAUUUACACAAUGAAGACACAAAAGUGUUUUGAGAUGCCUCAUGUGUCUUGUUUCUUCAGGGUUUUGUCAUCUUUCACUGCAUAGAAGUGCCACACGGAAAGACUUGCCAUGCUGCUCAGUAAUCUCCUUGGCAACCAGAUGGGAUUACUGGACAGUGGAUUCUAACACUUGUGAGGUGGACGUUAACAGUUCUGGGUCUGCUGAUUCAAGAAGAUCUGUUUUAGAAUAUGAAUUCAUUGUAUGAGUUUUAAAGUCAUCUUUUGCUGCAAAGAAGUGCGCAUGGAAAGAUGUGCACUGCUGUCCCAUCAACUCUUUGGCAAGGAGAUGUAGUCCAGUGGGCACUGGAUUCCAACACUUGUGAGAAUUUUGGGUUGUGAAUCCAAUCCAUCCAUGUGGCAGUUUUGUCCUCACAAAACCCCCAGGAAAUGAUGACUGCUCUGAAGGAGCUCAUUACUACUUACUGGGUCCAAUGAGGACUUGAUGUGCUACAUUGGCCUUGAGCAUCAGAUGAUGGGGCCAGGAUUUCCUUCAUCUACAGUGUGAGGAUACAAAAGUGAUUUGAGGGUUUUGUCAUCUUUCGCUGCAUAGAAGGAACACACGGAAAGACUUGUCAUGCUGCUCUUGGCAACCAGACGGGAUUACUGGACAUUGGAUUCUAACACUUGAGGUUUGCCAUGCCAUUGAUGACCACGCCUUCCAAAACAUCAAGACCACUGCUAAAUAGUCAUUGUUGUUUGUCAACAAGGCCAUUCACAGUAGCACCUUUCCCUAUAUGAAGUUGGUGCAUUGAAAUGAAAGGCAGAUUUUCAAAGCAAACACGGGACCAGGCUUACUGGUUUUGAUAUGGUGUUUAUAGGUUCACAUACUUGAAACAAAGACUGGCCAUGUUUUCAUUGAAAUUAAAUAAAGGCUGAAUGAAGA